UGGGGAAUUUUGGACAAUGGGCGAAAGCCUGAUCCAGCAAUGCCGCGUGUGUGAAGAAGGCCUUCGGGUUGUAAAGCACUUUUGUCCGGAAAGAAAUCCUUGGCUCUAAUACAGUCGGGGGAUGACGGUACCGGAAGAAUAAGCACCGGCUAACUACGUGCCAGCAGCCGCGGUAAUACGUAGGGUGCAAGCGUUAAUCGGAAUUACUGGGCGUAAAGCGUGCGCAGGCGGUUUGCUAAGACCGAUGUGAAAUCCCCGGGCUCAACCUGGGAACUGCAUUGGUGACUGGCAGGCUAGAGUAUGGCAGAGGGGGUGAGAAUUCCACGUGUAGCAGUGAAAUGCGUAGAGAUGUGGAGGAAUACCGAUGGCGAAGGCAGCCCCCUCGGCAAGUCAACUGACGCUCAUGCACGAAAGCGUGGGGAGCAAACAGGAUUAGAUACCCUGGUAGUCCACGCCCUAAA
This 461-nucleotide ribosomal RNA is filed under the name uncultured bacterium. Its description in RNAcentral is "partial 16S ribosomal RNA". It matches the Rfam family "Bacterial small subunit ribosomal RNA", at positions 355 to 806 of the family's 1533-position model. The record is from RNAcentral.